CGUUGAUUUGUUACCAGAACCCCGAGCCUGGGCUCUUCCUAGCAAGUGACAGCCUUAGUUGUUGUUUUCUGUAUGUAAAACUGUGGCAGCCGCACUCCUGCUUAGCAGCCUGGUUGUGGUUGUGAAAGCAUCCAGUAGAGAAGAGGAUGGCCUCCCUCCCGAAGUUCCCGCUGUUUUAUUUCGGACAGAAGUGACUCAACACAUCAUUUAUCAUACAGAUAAUAAACAGGCGCAUGCGCUCUGGGCUCUUCUACUCGGCUCUCAAGGCUUCAAAAAGCUGACAAAGCUUUACUGAGCACCCAUGAAACAGUAAUUGUGCUAGAUACUCAGGACUGAGAGAUUUAAACAAACCCAGUACUUUUGUUACGGCGCCACUGCUUCCCGCUGAAAUCUUGCUGUGAUCUGUCGUCCUUUUUCACAGAGACUUGAGAAAUUAGUGAUAACGGGUGGUAAAACAACUCUUGUAAUUAUUUGCUUGUAAUAUAAAUAAUGUUUUAACACGA
Heterocephalus glaber (naked mole-rat) is the source of this 503-nucleotide non-coding RNA. The record is from RefSeq and is a predicted model, not a curated record. NCBI's taxonomy places the organism in Eukaryota, Metazoa, Chordata, Mammalia, Rodentia, Bathyergidae.